RNAcentral lists this ribosomal RNA (492 nucleotides) under uncultured bacterium. RNAcentral describes it as "partial 16S ribosomal RNA". It matches the Rfam family "Bacterial small subunit ribosomal RNA", at positions 29 to 507 of the family's 1533-position model. The record is from RNAcentral.
AGUGAACGCUGGCGGUAGGCCUAACACAUGCAAGUCGAACGGCAGCACAGUAAGAGCUUGCUCUUACGGGUGGCGAGUGGCGGACGGGUGAGGAAUACAUCGGAAUCUACUUUUUCGUGGGGGAUAACGUAGGGAAACUUACGCUAAUACCGCAUACGACCUACGGGUGAAAGCAGGGGAUCUUCGGACCUUGCGCGAUUGAAUGAGCCGGUGUCGGAUUAGCUAGUUGGCGGGGUAAAGGCCCACCAAGGCGACGAUCCGUAGCUGGUCUGAGAGGAUGAUCAGCCACGCUGGAACUGAGACACGGUCCAGACUCCUACGGGAGGCAGCAGUGGGGAAUAUUGGACAAUGGGCGCAAGCCUGAUCCAGCCAUACCGCGUGGGUGAAGAAGGCCUUCGGGUUGUAAAGCCCUUUUGUUGGGAAAGAAAAGCAGCAGGUUAAUACCCCGCUGUUCUGACGGUACCCAAAGAAUAAGCACCGGCUAACUUCGUG